RNAcentral lists this ribosomal RNA (194 nucleotides) under uncultured eukaryote. RNAcentral describes it as "partial 18S ribosomal RNA". It matches the Rfam family "Eukaryotic small subunit ribosomal RNA", at positions 1 to 185 of the family's 1831-position model. The record is from RNAcentral.
UCAACCUGGUUGAUCCUGCCAGUAGUCAUAUGCUUGUUUCAAGGACUAAGCCAUGCAUGCCUCAGAAUCACUGCACUGCAGGAAUCUGCGCAUGGCUCAUUACAUCAGACGCAAUCUGCCGCAAAAGUGUUGCGGGUGACCGCAUGAUUGGAUACCUUGGCGAAACGCCAAGCUAAUACAUGAGUUGAUGGGUG